UUGUUCAGCUUAUAAUAGUUUUCCACUAUUGGAACAUUGAACUUUUGACCUCAAAUCAGGUAGGACUACCCGCUGAACUUAAGCAUAUCAAUAAGCGGAGGAAAAGAAACUAACAAGGAUUCCCCUAGUAACUGCGAGUGAAGCGGGAAAAGCUCAAAUUUAAAAUCUGGCGGUCUUUGNNNGUCUGANUUGUAAUCUAGAGAAGUGUUGCCCGCGCUGGACCGU
Molecule: ribosomal RNA, 225 nt
Filed under: Leucoagaricus rubrobrunneus
Lineage: Eukaryota; Fungi; Basidiomycota; Agaricomycetes; Agaricales; Agaricaceae
Description: partial 28S ribosomal RNA
Rfam family: Eukaryotic large subunit ribosomal RNA (bases 46-225)
Source: RNAcentral